GACGAACGCUGGCGGCGUGCUUAACACAUGCAAGUCGAACGAUGAAGCUGGAGCUUGCUCCGGUGGAUUAGUGGCGAACGGGUGAGUAACACGUGAGCAAUCUGCCCUUGACUCUGGAUAACUGCGGGAAACUGUAGCUAAUACCGGAUAUGAGGCUUGGAGGCAUCUCCAGGCCUGGAAAGGAUUUCGGUCAAGGAUGAGCUCGCGGCCUAUCAGCUAGUUGGUGAGGUAAUGGCUCACCAAGGCGACGACGGGUAGCCGGCCUGAGAGGGUGACCGGCCACACUGGGACUGAGACACGGCCCAGACUCCUACGGGAGGCAGCAGUGGGGAAUAUUGCACAAUGGGCGAAAGCCUGAUGCAGCAACGCCGCGUGAGGGAUGAAGGCCUUCGGGUUGUAAACCUCUUUUAGCAGGGAAGAAGCGAAAGUGACGGUACCUGCAGAAAAAGCACCGGCUAACUACGUGCCAGCAGCCGCCGUAA
Molecule: ribosomal RNA, 482 nt
Filed under: uncultured bacterium
Lineage: Bacteria
Description: partial 16S ribosomal RNA
Rfam family: Bacterial small subunit ribosomal RNA
Source: RNAcentral